This 175-nucleotide ribosomal RNA is filed under the name uncultured Bacteroidota bacterium. RNAcentral describes it as "uncultured Bacteroidetes bacterium partial 16S ribosomal RNA". It matches the Rfam family "Bacterial small subunit ribosomal RNA", at positions 352 to 525 of the family's 1533-position model. Lineage: Bacteria; Pseudomonadati; Bacteroidota. The record is from RNAcentral.
CACAUGAGGAAAUUGGACAUGGGCGNAAGCCUGAUCCAGCCAUGCCGCGUGCAGGANGAANNNUCUAUGGUGUGUAAACUGCUUUUGUACGGGAAGAAACACUCCUUCGUGAAGGAGCUUGACGGUACCGUAAGAAUAAGGAUCGGCUAACUCCGUGCCAGCAGCCGCGGUAAUA